CCCAGAUCUCAGGCUUACGAAGCUAACGCUAGCACUGACCUGAAACCCCAGAGCAGAUGUUUGCCCUGAUAACCAAGGCGCACACGCACCCUUCAGGGAAUCUGGAGGAUAACGUUCCCAAGCCCAGGGUGAGGCUGCAGAAACACCUCCGGAAGCCAUUUUGAGCCCUCUGCACCGGUUUGGCUGAGCUGUGCGGUCCGACGCUGCUUUGCAUUCGGUUCAGACCUUGUGACUUCCAACACACCGCCGGGGCUUUUCCUCCUCCUUCUGACAGACGUCAGGGACUAGACAGUUCACCAGAGAGCACUAGCGCCCUCGUGACCGUCAGACCCGAGGAUCUGGAUGAGUGUCGGGUGGGCGCCAUUGCUCUGCCCUGUAGAAACCUGGGGAAGGCUUAUGUUCCCUAAGGGAGUCACAGUCAGUCUUCCUAUGACUGUCUGGGAGCUUCCGAGUGACAGUGCCACACCCACGGGCUGCUUCCCGCCUGUCCCUGCCUUCCCUCACCACCUGAGGACCAGCCCGGCCUGACCACUAGGUCAAAUAAAUGAAAUCAUACGCAACGACCUCUCCGGCACGAACCCCCACUCCUAACUCAGCGCGUUAGAGCUGGCAGGAGCUGUGUGGAGUUGGCUCAGUGCAGACAACUGGGCUUCUGCGAGCGAGACUUUGAUGAAAUAAACUGAGCCCACAUCUGGUACCACUCAGCAAUCCCAACCUACCGAACGCUGGGAGCUGGAGUCUGAAGAAGUAGCUCUCUAACAAGGACGGAGUAGAAGAGGAGGCCAUGGCGACUCUUGAGAGAGAAAAGUCAUCUCAAGGGAAGAGAAGGGCUGGCCAGUGAGGCCAGGGCAGAUGCUGGCCCACGAAAGAAGGGCCUGUGUGGCAGACUGAGCCCAAGGCUGGCCCUCCUGCCCACUGGAUUAAAACACAGGAAGUGCCUUAUUUCACCCGACCACCACACCAGGGCAUUGUGGAAGCAAGCAUUGAAUUUUCUACCAUGAGAGUAUUUGUAGGAGCCAAAGCUAUUUAAAAACAAACAAACAAAAAAGGCAAAAACACUUUGUUAGGAGCCUUUAUCCUUUGUAUUAAUUGAUAGGAUUCUGGUAAGCUACGGCUUCCUACUGAUUUCUAACUUUCCUGGCUGUCCUACAUGAUUUGCCUGCCUUAUCCAGUGCAUUUUAGAGGUCUUCCAAUUGUCAUCUCGGCUCUUUCAUAAUCAGCUCCCUCCUCCGUGUGACUAAAACCAUAAGUUUGUUAAUAAUAGCAUGCUGAGAUUUUUUUUUGUUCUUAAUCUGGCUUCAAACAUAGUGAGAGGAAGUUGAACAGCACAAGACAGUGUCCUGGACAGAACAGAGCCUGCCUGCUACGGGACAGUACCUUGUGUUUGCAUGCAUGUACAUAUAGGCAUAUAUUUAUGUAUAGAUAUUCAAGAACGGAGAUGGUGACAACCAGUCCACGUCCAGCGGGGCUUCCAUGUUAGCAAUAAUGAGUGUCCACCUUGAGAAUGCACCUCAGAGUCCAGACCCGGUUUUCCAGCACCUUCCAUCAGGGUCUGUGACCCCUGAACAGGCAGGUGGCGUUUUCUUAUCUCAUGUAGUCACUGAGCACCCUAGACCGCAGUAGAGCUGUGCUCAAAUGCCCACAGGCCACCAAAUGGCCAAGUCUGAAAGUGGUUGUAAAUAACCAUUACGAAAAAGGAGUGUAAUAUAUUUGUUCAAUUAUAAGAUUAUUAUUUCACAGAAGCCUUAUAGCUCUCUGCUUCAUCUAAGAAAACAAUUACCAAAAACAAUGUUUCUAUAUGCAGUCUGUGGAUAGUGUGUUUUCAGGUUAGUUACUGGUAACAGAUAGGCUGGUGUCGGCUUUGUGUAAUUAGCUGCUUAUUACAGUUAGUAGCAGUGACCUAUUAUUUCUUAUAACCAAAAAAGCACGGUUUAAUUAAAACAUGUUUAAUGAUUGUGCCUUAGGAGUUAAUGCCCCCUUAUGGAACAUGCCUGAAUUGCACCUGUGGGUGGAAGUUGUGAGUUAGUCACAGAGUCAUGACAAGAAAAACUCUCUCACAGGAAGAUGCAUCUUUGAAAUGUUUGUUCUGUACAAUGGUGUCUUACCUUUCUCCAACUCACAGAAAGAAACAAAUGUCUGAAAGCCAUAUUGAACGUUUUCACACGACUGUGAAGAGCUGACGUGCGCCGCCUUGUACACACAUAGCUCCCGGCCGCCUGAAGGCUGCCUCCCGCCUGCAUCUAGUAUGUACCUGUGUUUAUUAGCAUCAUGGAGCUGCAUGGACCAUUCUUAGUAGGCUGUCAAAUGAAAGCAAGCGUUUGAUAUUUGUGUCUGCUAUCUUUGUAGUUAGAAAAUGGAUCCAAUAAAGCAGUAUUUUUUUCUUUUU
Long non-coding RNA from Peromyscus eremicus (cactus mouse), 2386 nucleotides. RefSeq lists it as uncharacterized. NCBI's taxonomy places the organism in Eukaryota, Metazoa, Chordata, Mammalia, Rodentia, Cricetidae. The transcript has 2 exons. The record is from RefSeq and is a predicted model, not a curated record.